Molecule: long non-coding RNA, 356 nt
Organism: Mirounga angustirostris (Northern elephant seal)
Lineage: Eukaryota; Metazoa; Chordata; Mammalia; Carnivora; Phocidae
Exons: 3
Source: RefSeq, a predicted model, not a curated record
GGGACAUGUGGGAGAAGACCCAGCCCGGGGAUCCGCAGCCAAACAGAAUAAUUCGGAGUGGCACCCGGACCCCAGGGAUGGCACAACAGGACCGAUAACACCCACUCUGCAGGUUGGAAGCAAGCAUUAGAUGAGACGAAGCACUAGAGCAGGCCGGCCAGCGAGCUGUUAACAGUGUCAUUUCUAAGAAGUGAGAUCCUGAGACUCAGAAAGAGUGACUCGCCCAAGGUCAUCCUGCAGCCUAUAAAGCACCAGGACUUCAGGCCAGGUCAAAGUGACCCCCAAGUCUGCCACACCCUUCCCCCUGGACCAAACUCGCUCAGAGGGCAAAGUGGGGAAUAAGGCAAAGAGAACAC